Molecule: ribosomal RNA, 711 nt
Filed under: uncultured delta proteobacterium
Lineage: Bacteria; Deltaproteobacteria
Description: bacterial SSU rRNA
Rfam family: Bacterial small subunit ribosomal RNA
Source: RNAcentral
GACAAACGCUGGUGGUGUGCCUAAUACAUGCAAGUCGAACGAGAAAGUCCCUUCGGGGGCGAGUAAGGUGGCGAACGGGUGAGUAACGCGUAGAUAACAUGCCUUUAGAUGGGGGAUAGCCAACCGAAAGGGUGGAUAAUACCGCAUAAGACCACAGUAUCUGUGGAUACAGGGGUCAAAGAUUUAUUGUCUAGAGAUUGGUCUGCGUCCGAUUAGCUUGUUGGUAGGGUAAAAGCCUACCAAGGCUAGGAUCGGUAGCUGGUCUGAGAGGAUGAUCAGYCACACUGGGACUGAGACACGGCCCAGACUCCUACGGGRGGCAGCAGUAGGGAAUCUUGCACAAUGGGGGAAACCCUGAUGCAGCGACACCACAUGAGUGAAGAAGGCUUUAGGGUUGUAAAGCUCUGUUCUUGACGAACAAAAAAAUGAGUGUAGUCAAGGAGAAAGGACCGGCUAACUUCGUGCCAGCAGCUGCGGUAAGACGGGGGGUCCAAGCGUUGUCCGGAAUUAUUGGGCGUAAAGUGGGUGUAGGUGGCUUUGUAAGUCAGAUGUGAAAAUCUCAGGCUCAACCUGAGAAGUGCCUUUGAUACUGCGAAGCUUGAGUUUGGAAGAGGGCAAUGGAAUUCCUGGUGUAGUGGUGAAAUGCGUAGAUAUCAGGAAGAAUACCGGAUGCGAAGGCGGUUGCCUGGUCCAACACUGACACUGAGACCC